AUGUUCUUCAUUUUCGUCAGCCAAAAUGCAGAAGAUCGAAUUGCCCUUCUCGGCAUCCUGCCCUGCCGCCUCUUCCACUUGAAACUCCUCUGCAGCCAUGGUGAUGGUUGUGCGCCUCUGUUACUGCAAAACCGCCUACCUCGAGGUAUAGAACAGCAGCCACUGUUUUUUGCAAAUGAAGCCACCGGGGCUUGGCAGGUCAUGUCCAUCGCGCCGUGUUGUCAAAGUUGCUGCUACUACCUCUGUUUACUUGGCCAAGAUCGAACUACAGCCACGGCAUCAGAUGGUUCCACGUGUGCUUUUGUUUGCCCUAUAGUUAAAUCAAGUGUUCUCUCUUUUGCCGGCCACUAA
Molecule: ribosomal RNA, 351 nt
Filed under: Triticum aestivum (bread wheat)
Lineage: Eukaryota; Viridiplantae; Streptophyta; Magnoliopsida; Poales; Poaceae
Description: partial small subunit ribosomal RNA
Source: RNAcentral